AACGAACGCUGGCGGCGUGCCUAACACAUGCAAGUCGUGCGAGAAAGUUCCUUCGGGAGCGAGUAAAGCGGCGCACGGGUGAGUAACACGUAGGUAACCUGCCCCCCAGUCUGGAACAACUAGAGGAAACUCUAGCUAAUGCCGGAUGAGACCACGAUCCCUUCGGGGGUUGCGGCCAAAGAUGGCCUCUACUUGUAAGCUAUCGCUGAGGGAUGGGCCUGCGGGCCAUUAGCUUGUUGGUGAGGUAACGGCUCACCAAGGCUGUGAUGGCUAGCUGGUCUGAGAGGAUGACCAGCCACACUGGGACUGAGACACGGCCCAGACUCCUACGGGAGGCAGCAGUGGGGAAUAUUGCGCAAAUGGGCGAAAGCCUGACGCAGCGACGCCGCGUGGGUGAUGAAGGCCUCGGUCGUAAAGCCUCGUCGCAGGGAAGAAGUAAG
Molecule: ribosomal RNA, 440 nt
Filed under: uncultured bacterium
Lineage: Bacteria
Description: bacterial SSU rRNA
Rfam family: Bacterial small subunit ribosomal RNA
Source: RNAcentral